CCAGUGUUAUGAUUGGUUCUCUUGGGUGGAUAUUUGUCCGGAAUGGGAAACUAAAAAGCGAUUCAUCAAAUGAUCAUGCCAUUUGAAGCUGUUCGGUGGGUAAGUUUCUAGGAGGGCCUGGUAUUACUGAGUAAAGCAGUGUGCUCCUUUUGUAAAUCUAUAGUCAGACAAAAUAGACAAGAAACAAGCUCAUUACCCCAACUUUUAGUUUAUUCCCACCCACCCCCCACCCCCAACACUUCUACCUCAGAGAAACUAUUGUCUAGAUUUGAGUCUUUGAAUGUUUUAGACAGAAAAAUGGAUGAAAUUUGUUCUUUGUUCAUGCUCAAAUGGGCCCGUUGUCUACAACACGCCUUGGGGAAGCGUUCGGCCUGGUAUUCAAGUAUCUCCGCGGAUCUACCCCAGCCAUUAGAGCAGAUAGAGCUCAGUCAGCGCCGACCCGCCCCUUCCCCUGCGGCCGGCGCGGACCAGUCGCGUCCACUCCUGGCCGCCGCGGGGCCCGGGCUCCUUGACCGUCCUCCAAGGCCACUCGGAGCGCAGCUUCCCUGAGCCCAGAGCCUCCCCGCGCUCCCAGCGGGCGCCCGGGGGCUCGUGUCCUGCUGCUCUCGCCCAAGGCGGCCGGUCUCGGCCUGCUGCCGGUCCUUGCUGGGUCUGCGCCGCUGCCCGGGAUUCCCUGGAGAGAUUCGCGGCGUCUCCCGAGAGGUGGCGCGCGGUGAGGGCAGUCGAGGUCCUGGCGCCGCGGCCUCCUGCCGGGUACGAAGCCCUGGGAGCGCCUCUCCGCCGCCGCCCGUCGCCCCGGAAGUCGCGCCCUGAGAUUCCGGGCACUUUCUUUUUCUUCUUUGGAAUGGUGUGAUGUCCGCGGUUGUUUUUGUCCUUAUACCUGAAGACGCCACGCUUUUCAAAAGGUGCGCGCAACUACGGCGCGGAGGUGCGGGGAACCUGGGCCGCAAGCGCCGAAGCCACUCGGUGAAGAAGGAGCACUGGCCUUCGACCCGUCGUCGAAGACCUGGGCUGAGCGAUGGUGGCACCAGGCCCAAGGGAUUUGAUUUUCAAAAGGCGGAACCGGAGCGCUGCCAUCAGAAGGCGCGGCCUGCCACCUGGACAAACGCGGUCUCCCCCAGAGCCCGGUUGCGCCCCAAAGCCGGGUUCCAUCCCAUCUCCGACUAAGACACUUCCUGAUUUGCCCCUCGCCAGACUCCAGCAAUUUUCUGGGUCCCCGGGAAGCUGAUUUCGCCUCUGGGCUUCCAUGAUUAGUGGCAGCUGGAGUGCUGCUCCCCAACCUGGGCCCACUUUAGGGUGUGUGGGGCAGGGAGGAGGGUGGGAUCACUCUUAAUCUCGUGUCACAGCUAAAUAAUUUACUCAAGGUCUUCUCUUCCUGCCAGUUCCCUUCCCUGUUCCACUGCCCUUGACUUCCUGCUUUGUGAAGCCCCGGGGAAAGAAAGGCCAACUCUUAAUAAAAGUUAAUAUUAAUAGAGGCCCCAUGCUCCGGGCUUCUCCAACACCUCAUCUUCCCCUCUC
Molecule: long non-coding RNA, 1518 nt
Filed under: Pan troglodytes (chimpanzee)
Lineage: Eukaryota; Metazoa; Chordata; Mammalia; Primates; Hominidae
Description: long non-coding RNA NONPTRT004436
Source: RNAcentral